UUGACACUUAAAUUUAGUAUUAAUUUAUAAUUUGAAAAUAUAAAAUUGCAUUUGGACAACAUACACUAGCAAAUGCUGAAAGUAUUGACAAUGUUUUUGAAAAUAAAUAUUUUAAGGGAUUUCAGGAGAUUUGCAAUUGUGAUUAGUAUUUCACUUUUUCAUGCUGGCAGCAUCACUCGACCGUAUGAGUGUGUGUGUGUGCGUUUUGUGUUCCAUAGAAAUUUUGUGUGUGAAAAUUUGGCGAAGAAAAAUUGGAAUUUUGGUGAAAUUAUCGCAUAGAAAAACUGAAAAAUGUGCAGAAAACUAUAGCAGAAACUAUUUAAGUAUGAAGAUGUUGAAGUGAAGUGUGAAAUGGUGUUAUGAAAUGUCAAAAAUAUUGAGUGAGUGAGUGGAUUGAUUCUGCCUACGAUUGUCAGGGGCACUCGUUCAUUUUUCCCUUCGGUAGUAGAAUUGAAUAAUUUUCUCAACUUGAAUUAUGUGAAAAUCAACUAAAAACUUCAAAAGUGAAGACGAUUUUCAAUGAAAAGGGGAAGGGGAAUUUAGUUAGAAGUGAAUGUUAAUGUAAAGGAAAGCAAAAGUGUUGGAAGCAUAGAGAAAAGGAGAAAAAAGAACUGGUCGCUCCAUACAGCGAAGACAACAAAAGGCGAAGAACGAGUGGCAACAGUAAUAACAAUAACAACUGCCAGAACGUAAACAAGAACAAAGUUAUGAUUAAGGCGAAUUGUAAAUUUGUUGGAUGACAAUUGAUAGCAAGAAAGUGAGCAAAAAAGAAACGAAGAUAAGGAGUUGUAAAAGAAUUGGAGAAAACGACUAGCAGCUGGUAGCUCAGCCGUUAAUGCUGCUGCUGCGCUGCCUUAACUGUGCAUAAUAUUAUUUGUAUUCUGUAGCUUCGCUGCCUUGCGUCAUCGUAAACGUUGACGUUAACGUACGUUGUCGAACCCAUCCGUACUGUUGGUUUGUGCUAUCGCGCUUAUUCGUAGCACGCAAUCCCGUUUGGUCGCUUCUUGAUUUGUUUUGCAGUAGUGUUCGUUCGUGUUAUUGUCGUCGCGCAAUGUUCCAUGUUUCUCAUGUUUUGGUAGGGGGGCAAAUGAGAAAAAAAAUUAAUAAAUAAAAAGUAAAUCAAAUAUCCCCAACAUUCGUGAAAGGCCGCGCAGACAUCGAGGACGUGUUUGUAUUCAUCAACAACGGACAUAAACGAGUAGCUCAUCUCAUAAGACUUGAAACAUUAGUGUAGACCACUAAAUGGACAAAAUACAUAGUAAUUGUCGUGAUCGUCACCGUCGUCGUAAUAGUACGGGAAUAUCAGUCGGCAAUUAAUUUAAAAUAAAUUUAAAACAAUACGGGUUGAACACUGUAAGCAGACUUGUAAUAUAAUUGUACAUAUAUAUUCAUAAACAAUAACAUAUACAUAAGUAAAGUUAAUUAAAAACUUAAAUUUAUCUGCUAAUGGAUUAAUUUAGACACAUACGCACACACACACACAGACAUAAGA
This is a long non-coding RNA of Zeugodacus cucurbitae (melon fly), 1492 nucleotides long. RefSeq lists it as uncharacterized. The transcript has 2 exons. The record is from RefSeq and is a predicted model, not a curated record. NCBI's taxonomy places the organism in Eukaryota, Metazoa, Arthropoda, Insecta, Diptera, Tephritidae.